RNAcentral lists this ribosomal RNA (432 nucleotides) under uncultured bacterium. RNAcentral describes it as "partial 16S ribosomal RNA". It matches the Rfam family "Bacterial small subunit ribosomal RNA", at positions 29 to 507 of the family's 1533-position model. The record is from RNAcentral.
AACGAACGCUGGCGGCAUGCCUAACACAUGCAAGUCGAACGAGACCUUCGGUCUAGUGGCGCACGGGUGCGUAACGCGUGGGAACCUGCCCUUAGGUUCGGAAUAACUCCCCGAAAGGGGUGCUAAUACCGGAUAAUGUCUUCGGACCAAAGAUUUAUCGCCUUUGGAUGGGCCCGCGUUGGAUUAGCUAGUUGGUAGGGUAAAAGCCUACCAAGGCGACGAUCCAUAGCUGGUCUGAGAGGAUGAUCAGCCACACUGGGACUGAGACACGGCCCAGACUCCUACGGGAGGCAGCAGUGGGGAAUAUUGGACAAUGGGCGAAAGCCUGAUCCAGCAAUGCCGCGUGAGUGAUGAAGGCCUUAGGGUUGUAAAGCUCUUUUACCCGGGAUGAUAAUGACAGUACCGGGAGAAUAAGCGCCGGCUAACUCCGUG